CUUUCCUUAUGGCGGCCGAGGCUAAAGCUAGUUAGCUGGAGACGCUGGAAACUCUUUUCUGAACAGAACAAACUUCACGCUGUGAUCCCCGAAUAUGGUUUUUAAAGAGCUCCAGAAGCACAAAGGUCGACAGUAAACCGGAAGAAGAAGGAAAGUCUUUCUACAAACAUGUCUGGAGUCCAGCAGCUGAGAUACAUGUUGAAACUACAGUGGACACCUGCUGAUGAAGGAAUGAUCACAAACCAGGAAGAAGAAAUGUGUCAUUUAAAAGAAGAGAACAAAAGAGGCAAAGGGCUGGAUGCUGUUUUUGAUUCUCCAAAUCUCUUUGACAGAACAGACAUGCAGCCGUUGUUGGUGAUUAAAGAAGACAUUCUCCCUGAACACCAGGAAUGC
Thalassophryne amazonica is the source of this 393-nucleotide long non-coding RNA. RefSeq lists it as uncharacterized. The record is from RefSeq and is a predicted model, not a curated record. NCBI's taxonomy places the organism in Eukaryota, Metazoa, Chordata, Actinopteri, Batrachoidiformes, Batrachoididae. The transcript is spliced from 3 exons.